This is a non-coding RNA of Paramuricea clavata, 153 nucleotides long. The record is from the annotation of a GenBank genome assembly. NCBI's taxonomy places the organism in Eukaryota, Metazoa, Cnidaria, Anthozoa, Malacalcyonacea, Plexauridae.
AACAGGAUUCAAUAAUGUUUUGCUACCCACGUUGUUCACACUUGUCAACAAUAUUGAACAACAUUGUUGAGCCUGAAUCGAGUGUAAUGAUAUUGUUCAAUAUUGUUGACAACAGUGAACAAUGUGGGCAGCAAAACAUUGUUCAAUCCUGUU